UUUUUUUUUUUUUUUUUCCCCCAAGUUUGUCUGUGUUGUUUUUUUUUUCCUAAUUGGCCAAUGCGGUGUUUAUCCUGAUAAUGGUUUCAAUUAUAAAGGGGCAUUUUCAGGCCGUAUUCCUGGAAAUGAGAUGCCGGAUGGGUCGAUAAGGUUUGCACAUGUGCUUCAUGCGUGCAUCAUCGGGAGAUCAAUAUGAUUGCGCUGGAGCUGUUGCCUGUGUCAAGGAUGGCCAGCUCAGGACCUUCAAUUUGAUAAAGAGCAUGUCUGCAUAAAGUUUUCUGCAGGUGUGAAUAGAACUGCAAGCAAAAGCUGAUUAUUUGAAAGAGAUCUGGAUUUGGGUUGAGGAAAUUUGGAAGCCUGUCUUGACACGUCUCUGCCUAAAAUUCAGGAGAGAUGAAGAAGCCUCUAGGACCCUCCCGUUGUCCUGGAUGCACGCAUCAUCUGAUCUGGUUUCUCAUACAACUGAUAAAACUCAUCCAACUCCCACGGAAAGAGCUCAAAUAAAGUCAGCAAAGUCAGACCAAGAAGGCAGUGUCGUGGGAGCUUUGAAGGCUCAGAAGCUGUGGAAAGGACAACAUUUCAGGGUUUUUCACUUCACAAAUUGCCUCUGCAAGAAGAACCAGUGGUGGAAAGUAAAGGCUGUAACCCUGUAUUCAGAAAAUGAAAAUUAUCACAACGCUGAGGCAGAUCACACCAGACUGCCUGUUAUGCCGCUGCUUAGGCUUGUCCUUUAGCCACAACCCUCUAGUGGAACAGGCUGGGAUUUCAGUCGCGUGUGGGAAAUGUCUCCAGUGUCUUUCAAACGGCAUGCCACAAGGGAUGCUUGCCUUGAGACCACUCUGAUCAUACCCGAGCUCUGAUGCUCUGAAAGGCAUAUAGAAAGACAGAUGUGCAGCGAGCAGCUGUACAGAAGGACAUUUAUUCUGUGUUCCUUGAGGAGUACUCCCACCAAGUCCAUGGGAUCCCCUGAGUCUGGGGUCUAUGAGGUGUGCUGCUCUCUUGGAUGUCCUGCCUUUGCCCAUUGCCUUCAUGUCACAUUGAGGACUAUGUGUGGCUGCUCCCUCCUGAUUCCCUCCUGAAGCCUCAACUGUUUUGCUCUUGGCUUCCGAGCUUUGGUGGCCAUUCCCCUUUUUAUGGAAAAAAAAAAAAAAAAAAAAACCUUCUAUUAAUACGGAUUCCUUGUAAAAGAAGACAAAAAAAGAGAGAGAUCCCAAGGUGAAAGGAGAAUUGUUUUUAUUAUUGAUUCUAUUAUUAUUAUUAAAUAUUUUAUUUAUUUCAUUUCAUUUUAUGUUAGGGAGGUGGGUGGAGGGUCAUCUUCAGGAUCAGGAAAUUGGCUCCUUUUAAAUUGAGAUUGUCAAUAUCUACUUCUCUGACUCCCUUUGCCUGUGUAUUUCACCAGAUGACUUUUUCAAAUUCUUGAUGAUAUCUUACUUUGUUUCUGGAGUGGUUUCUUCUCCCCAGAUAUCUGCUCUAAGAAAAGAACGAAAAAAUAAUGGUUACCACCAAUGGGAUGUGUUAGCUGCUGCCAGAUUUAAAGGGUUUAUUGAUCCCAUCAAAGGCAGUUGGGAACCAAAGAAAUGCUUUAUUUUUUUCUGAGAUCUAUUAAGCAUUUUGCAAGAAUACCUUCAGUAAUUCACUGCUAAGGAGUAAGUCAUUGGAUAUGAAUGGGCUGACAAGUGUAGUGAUAAGGUUACUUUGCAAAGGAGAAAAACAGAUUAGGGGUUAAAAUAGUACUUAGAAAUUGGAAAAUCACGACUGGUCUUUCAUGUGUCAUUCUAAGAAAUUAAUUUCAUUUGUUUUGUCCUAUGUCACUGUUAACUUAUGGUAAUGGUAAUAUAUCUUCAUGUUGCACUCUGAGUGUAAUUAUGAAUUAAAUAUAUGUUCCUGGGGUAUUCUGAAACUCUGCUGUCGAAAGCAGAAUGCAUCCAAGGUAGCUGCUGUAUCUGGAGCUUGUGUUAACCCUGGUGCCUGAUAACCCAGGUGAGGGACACCAACCCACGUCCUGCGUGGGAGCUGGAAGGUGCUGUCCCUGAACAGUGUUUCAUCUCUUCCAGCACAUCCCAGCAGGCCUGCCAGCACACACUGGAACAAGGCACAAAAGGCUUCUGCCUCCUGACUCUUUCCCUUCAUUACUUACCAAGGAUGGAGCAGAGGGGAAGGUGAGAAGAAGAGGUAUCUGUGCAGCGCACCAGCCAAAUAAGUGGAGGCACGGAGUAACUUCUCUUGCUGGCCCUGAAAUCAAGAUAGUCUGUGGCUGUGCAAACAGUUGUGCCUCUGUAAUUGAUAAUCCAAAACAGGUCACUGCAGUAGCCAGUUGCUGUCUGUCCCCAGCCUGCUGUUUAAUGCUGCACUCAUUUACUCUUCAGGUAGGAUACAUCUUCCAGGGUUGUGCAGAGCUCUGUCCCCCUGCCUAACUUAAGUGAGUGUACUUGGAUUUCCAGGAAACCUUGCAAAGUAUCUAUGCUGUUUGUUCUUCAAGCUGAAGGGGAAUGACAGAUUCCCAGGACCUGGUCUGUCAUCCAUACUGAGGCUUAACAGUGAAAUUUGUGACAUAAUCUGCCAAUUUUAUGGGUAGGUCCGCAAUUUAAAAAAUUGCAAGAGACUUGGUCAAUGAACAGACUUUACAGGUGCAAUACACAGCAAUGCAUGACAGGUAAACUUAACAUUUCACCAGGACCUAGCCACCUAUAUAUUUCAUAAAGCAGAACUUGUAAAGGGCCUUGUGGAAGCACCAUCUGCUGAUUUCCAAUAAAACUGCAAAUGCUGUGGAAACUUUCUGCUGU
RNAcentral lists this long non-coding RNA (2783 nucleotides) under Anser cygnoides (Swan goose). RNAcentral's name for it is "lncRNA (ENSACDG00005015259.1)". The record is from RNAcentral. Lineage: Eukaryota; Metazoa; Chordata; Aves; Anseriformes; Anatidae.